RNAcentral lists this ribosomal RNA (395 nucleotides) under uncultured bacterium. RNAcentral describes it as "bacterial SSU rRNA". It matches the Rfam family "Bacterial small subunit ribosomal RNA", at positions 505 to 898 of the family's 1533-position model. The record is from RNAcentral.
GUGUCAGCAGCCGCGGUAAGACGAGCCACACAAACGUUAUUCGGAAUCACUGGGCUUAAAGGGUGCGUAGGCUGCGCGGAAAGUGGGGUGUGAAAGCCCUCGGCUCAACCGAGGAAUGGCGCUCCAAACUACCGUGCUAGAGGAAGACAGAGGUAAGCGGAACUGAGGGUGGAGCGGUGAAAUGCGUUGAUAUCCUCAGGAACACCGGUGGCGAAAGCGGCUUACUGGGUCUUUUCUGACGCUGAGGCACGAAAGCUAGGGUAGCAAACGGGAUUAGAUACCCCGGUAGUCCUAGCUGUAAACGAUGAGCACUUGGUUGAAGGGCCCUCCAUAGCCUUUCAGCCGGAGCGAAAGUGUUAAGUGCUCCGCCUGGGGAGUAUGGUCGCAAGGCUGAA